CCUACGGGAGGCAGCAGUGGGGAAUUUUGGACAAUGGGCGCAAGCCUGAUCCAGCAAUGCCGCGUGAGUGAAGAAGGCCUUCGGGUUGUAAAGCUCUUUUGUCAGGGAAGAAACGGCUGAGGCUAAUAUCCUCGGCUAAUGACGGUACCUGAAGAAUAAGCACCGGCUAACUACGUGCCAGCAGCCGCGGUAAUACGUAGGGUGCAAGCGUUAAUCGGAAUUACUGGGCGUAAAGCGUGCGCAGGCGGUUUUGUAAGUCUGUCGUGAAAGCCCCGGGCUUAACCUGGGAAUUGCGAUGGAGACUGCAAGGCUUGAAUCUGGCAGAGGGGGGUAGAAUUCCACGUGUAGCAGUGAAAUGCGUAGAGAUGUGGAGGAACACCGAUGGCGAAGGCAGCCCCCUGGGUCAAGAUUGACGCUCAUGCACGAAAGCGUGGGGAGCAAACAGGAUUAGAUACCCUGGUAGUCCACGCCCUAAACGAUGUCUACUAGUUGUCGGGUCUUAAUUGACUUGGUAACGCAGCUACGCGUGAGUAGACCGCCGUCGGGAGGUACGGUCGCGAGAAGUUAAAACGUUAAAGUAGUAAGUUAGUACGGCGUGAGACGUAGACCGACGGACGACGACGAGGGGAGGAGG
Molecule: ribosomal RNA, 634 nt
Filed under: uncultured bacterium
Lineage: Bacteria
Description: bacterial SSU rRNA
Rfam family: Bacterial small subunit ribosomal RNA (bases 1-540)
Source: RNAcentral